AUGAACGCUGGCGGCGUGCCUAAUACAUGCAAGUCGGGCGAACAGAUGAGGAGCUUGCUCCUCUGACGUUAGCGGCGGACGGGUGAGUAACACGUGGUUAACCUACCUAUAAGUCUGGGAUAACUUCGGGAAACCGGAGCUAAUACCGGAUAAUAUAUUUAACCGCAUGGUUCAAUAGUGAAAGACGGUUUUGCUGUCACUUAUAGAUGGAUCCGCGCCGCAUUAGCUAGUUGGUAAGGUAACGGCUUACCAAGGCGACGAUGCGUAGCCGACCUGAGAGGGUGAUCGGCCACACUGGAACUGAGACACGGUCCAGACUCCUACGGGAGGCAGCAGUAGGGAAUCUUCCGCAAUGGGCGAAAGCCUGACGGAGCAACGCCGCGUGAGUGAUGAAGGUCUUCGGAUCGUAAAACUCUGUUAUUAGGGAAGAACAAAUGUGUAAGUAACUAUGCACGUCUUGACGGUACCUAAUCAGAAAGCCACGGCUAACUACGUG
RNAcentral lists this ribosomal RNA (496 nucleotides) under uncultured bacterium. Its description in RNAcentral is "partial 16S ribosomal RNA". It matches the Rfam family "Bacterial small subunit ribosomal RNA", at positions 29 to 507 of the family's 1533-position model. The record is from RNAcentral.